GAUGAACGCUGGCGGCGUGCCUAAUACAUGCAAGUCGAGCGAACAGACGAGGAGCUUGCUCCUCUGACGUUAGCGGCGGACGGGUGAGUAACACGUGGAUAACCUACCUAUAAGACUGGGAUAACUUCGGGAAACCGGAGCUAAUACCGGAUAAUAUAUUGAACCGCAUGGUUCAAUAGUGAAAGACGGUUUUGCUGUCACUUAUAGAUGGAUCCGCGCCGCAUUAGCUAGUUGGUAAGGAAACGGCUUACCAAGGCAACGAUGCGUAGCCGACCUGAGAGGGUGAUCGGCCACACUGGAACUGAGACACGGUCCAGACUCCUACGGGAGGCAGCAGUAGGGAAUCUUCCGCAAUGGGCGAAAGCCUGACGGAGCAACGCCGCGUGAGUGAUGAAGGUCUUCGGAUCGUAAAACUCUGUUAUUAGGGAAGAACAAAUGUGUAAGUAACUAUGCACGUCUUGACGGUACCUAAUCAGAAAGCCACGGCUAACUACGUG
This 497-nucleotide ribosomal RNA is filed under the name uncultured bacterium. RNAcentral's name for it is "partial 16S ribosomal RNA". It matches the Rfam family "Bacterial small subunit ribosomal RNA", at positions 28 to 507 of the family's 1533-position model. The record is from RNAcentral.